RNAcentral lists this long non-coding RNA (962 nucleotides) under Anas platyrhynchos platyrhynchos (common mallard). RNAcentral's name for it is "lncRNA (ENSAPLG00000028959.1)". Lineage: Eukaryota; Metazoa; Chordata; Aves; Anseriformes; Anatidae. The record is from RNAcentral.
UGCUGAUUAAGCUCUUACUCAUUUAUGUUAAAUGUCUAAUGAAAAGCUCUUUGAAUCUGGUUUAACCCAUAUUAAAUGCCCUAGUGGUGCCCCUGGAAUUAAAAGAGAAGAAGAAAAUUAAUCCUAUUCUUUGUUCCCUUUAUACAUUUUAAUAAAUUAUACUGCAUCUUCCUUAACGCAUUUAUGUCUCAGACAAAAUGCCAAAUGGUUUGAUCCUUUCAACAAAAAGCCAAGGAACAAAUUUGCACAUUAAAAUGUAGAGUGAUUCAACAAUUCAAGGCAUAGUGUUUUCCAGAAGGAAAUGAUGUGUUUUCUAUGUUUCUUAAUAACUCUGCACGAUGAUUUCUGCUUUGUAUUUAAGCAGGGUCUGAUGAAAGUUUGCUAAGUUUUUCUUUCUUUCUUUCUUUCUUUCUUUCUUUCUUUCUUUCUUUCUUUUUUCCACACAGCUCUUGAAUAUCCCUGUAUGUUGAAAACAACAGAAAGUAUGUUGGCUGCUUCUGCUUCAGCAGUGGAGGCCACAGCUCUACCGCAGCUGAAGCAUCUGGCCCUUCAGAGCAUACAAAUCCUGUCCUCAUGCUUUGUCUUACAGGUAUAAAGACAAAAUGGUUAAGAAGAAAACAAAACAAAACAAAACAACAACAACAACAACAAAAAAAGACCUCUUCCACUGUUAAAUUUUUGAUCCAGACUGGGAGGACUGAUUCAGUCCUGCAAUGGUUGGAAUUCACCAAAAGGAUGAAAUCACACCAGUUCUAUUAUCUGUCAGUUAAACUCUUUGAACCUUCAAGUCAUAUUCAUAGAAAGGAUAGUAUUUUGAGGGAUGCUAAAACUUGUAAAAUGGGGAAUGGAUCUGUGUUCAUUUACUGGCAAGUGCUGGAAGUUAUUAAGUGGUGCUGAUUUCUUGCUACAUGCAAACCCUAAUCUAUUGCCAAAAUCUGAAUAAAAAUGAAGUUUUACUGCCA